UACCCGCUGAACUUAAGCAUAUCAAUAAGCAGAGGAAAAGAAACUAACAAGGAUUCCCCUAGUAAUGGCGAAUGAAGAGGGAAAAGCCCAAAUUUGUAAUCUGGCUCUUUCAGAGUCCGAGUUGUAAUUUUAAGAACUGUUUUCAGUGCUGGACCAUGUACAAGUCUGUUGAAAAGCAGCAUCAUAGAAGGUGAUAAUCCUGUUCAUGAUAUGGACUACCAGUGCAAUAUGAUACAGUCUCUAAGAGUCGAGUUGUUUGGGAAUGCAGCUCAAAGUGGGUGGUAAAUUCCAUCUAAGGCUAAAUAUUGAUGAGAGACCGAUAGCAAACAAGUACCGUGAGGGAAAGAUGAAAAGAACUUUGGAAAGAGAGUUAACAGUACGUGAAAUUGUUAAAAGGGAAACAAUUGAAGUUAGACUUGUUAUUAUUAGUUCAACCUUUUUUAAAGGAGUAUUCUAAUGAUUAACAGACCAACAUCAAUUUUUGGGUGUUGGAUAAGGGUUUAGGGAAAUGUAGCAGUCUCUGACUGUGUUAUAGUCCUUCAGAGCUUUGAUACAAUGCCUAAGAUUGAGGAAUGCAGUAAGCCUUUUUUUUGAGGUGGAACAAAUUAUUGUUCUUCUUACUGAGGAUGUUGGUGCAAUAGCUUUAAAUGACCCGUCUUGAAACACGG
RNAcentral lists this ribosomal RNA (668 nucleotides) under Puccinia obscura. RNAcentral's name for it is "LSU rRNA". It matches the Rfam family "Eukaryotic large subunit ribosomal RNA", at positions 22 to 664 of the family's 3401-position model. Lineage: Eukaryota; Fungi; Basidiomycota; Pucciniomycetes; Pucciniales; Pucciniaceae. The record is from RNAcentral.